RNA transcript from Alexandromys fortis (reed vole), 4123 nucleotides. It is a transcript of the gene named protein CutA homolog, with no coding region annotated. NCBI's taxonomy places the organism in Eukaryota, Metazoa, Chordata, Mammalia, Rodentia, Cricetidae. The transcript is spliced from 7 exons. The record is from RefSeq and is a predicted model, not a curated record.
GUUGCUGCGCUUGGUAGGCUUGCUGCACCCGGACGGCUGUGACGGUGAGGACGUCUGGGGAACCAAGAGGCGUUGUGCAUGUGCUCCUCAAAGUCCUUCGUGGCGGAACCGGGAUUAUCAAGUCAAGGUACAUGGUCCUACCUCAGGAAGACGUGACGAAAGUUCUGAGAACUGGAACCUGGACGUGAUGCGGCACCAUGUUGACAUCUGUCAUGCAACUGGAAGCUUGAUUAAGAGACGUUUGGGGCAGAAAGUUUCCGGCAUCUUCAAGAUGCUGUGCGUGAUGAAAUCAUCCAGAGGAUGGACACUGCAUUCGUCUUUGGAGUGGAGGGCCAGGCAGUAGAGGGGCUGGCCUCAGGCUCUGAAGGCCGUUUGCAACCAAGCCAAAUGCACCUACAGAUCCUGGUGGUCAUCCUGACGUAUCCUAUGCUCAGGACCUUCUCCCUCUGGUUCCACUCCUCCCUCACCAGGAACCAUGUCUCUGGCACUUACUCCAUUGUUUUUGUCAACUGUCCCAAUGAGCAAAUUGCCAAAGAUGUUGCCAGGGCCAUAUUGGAUAAGAAGUUGGCCGCUUCUGUGAACAUCUUGCCUAAGACGUCAUCACUGUACUUUUGGAAGGGAGAAAUAGAAGAAUCCACUGAGAUCUUGUUGCUAAUAAAGACAAAGACUUCCAAGGUCUCCAGGCUGUCCACCUAUGUGAGUCCCUCUUCCUACCCCUUCUCUCCCCAGAUCUCCUCUUCCUCCUGUUUCCCUUCAAGAGAAAGAAAGAAAGAAAGAAAGAGAAAGAAAAACAAACAGGCCUCCCAGAGAUAUCAACCAAAUGUGAUAUAACAACUUACAAGAAGACUGGACACAAACCCUCAUAUCAAGGUUGGACAAGGCAACCCAGGAGGAGGAAGAAGGGUCUGAAGUGCAGGCAAAAGAGUCAGAGACACCCAGUUUCCUGCUGUUAGGAGUCCCACAAGAACACCAAGCUAUACAAACACAACGUAUAUGCAGAGGACCUAGCACAGACCCAUACAGGGUCUGUGUUUGUUGCUUCAGUCUCUGUAAGCCCCUAUCAAGCCUGGUUAGUUGGUUCUGUGGGAUUUCUUGUGGUGUCCUUGAUCCCUCUGGCUCCUACAAUCAUUCCUCCCCCUCCUCUGUGGGGUUCCCUGAGCUCUGCCUCUUGUUUGGCUGUGGGUGUGCAUCUACUCCCAUCAGUGGCUGCAUGAAGACUCUGAUGACUGGCUAGGCACCGGCCUGUGAGUAUAGGAGAAUAUCAUUAGGAGUCAUUUCAUCGACCUUUUAUUGGGGUGGGGGGGGAGGCAGUCAUGCUUGGUUCUAUCUGGGUCUCUGGAAUGUCCUGCCUCUGGUUCCUGGCCAUCCAGACAGUGUCUGGUGUGGGCUCCCUCUUGUGGCAUGGUCCUCAAGUUGGACCUGUCAUGGGUCGCCACUCCCACAGGCUCUGAGCAGCCUUUGCUCCCACACAUCUUGUAGGCAGGGUGGAUUGUAGGUCAAGUGUGGGGUUCUCAAGGGGCACCCCAGGUGGACUGCUGUGCUGCCUGGGCUACAUGCCCUUGCUCUGCAUGGUAAGAAUCAUCUCCUCACUGUUGCGGGAGGUCCUUCCGCUCCUCCAACCAAUAGCUGCUGAGAUACCAGCCCAUUGGGGCAUGGUCUCUCUCCCUUUAAAAAAGCGGCUACUUCCCUCCACUCUCUCUUCAUUUCCUGCUCCGCCGGCGACUAGACUCCCUGGUUGCUCAGAGGGCUGUUGUCUGGGAUGGUGAUCUGUAAGUUUUUUCCUCUUUAAAUAAAUACCACCCUAUUAAUCAUAAUUCCAAACUGGUGUGGCAUUGUUUGUGACUUACGCCUUCACCUGGCACCCACCACGCCCUCCUGAAGGUUGCUGUGAACACCUUCAGAAAAUUGCUUCGCUCAACUGCCAACUGAGAUGAAACUAGCACACAGGUUAUACCAUGAAAGACCUAAUUAAUGACGCCCCCAUUCAGCAGGAAGCAGUUUGGAGAGAAAAAACUGCGCCCAUGUUCUCAAAUAUGGUUUAUAAAUGUUCUUUUACAUUUAAAGGGGGAUAUGACAUAGAUAUAAAUAAUUUGCAUUGGUAUGGAUUUUAAGGUCAAUUUUGUUAUAUGUAUAUGCAUAUUUCUAAUCUUGAUUAAGGUAUUGUGAUUGUGUGUUCACUUUUAAAAUGUAAUGUAUAAUUAGGAAAUAUAGGUUGCUAAUGGAUAAUCAUCAAUAAUAGUCAAGCUUGUAGUCAUGUUAGUUAAGAUUUUCUAGAUAUGCAUAGAUAUAUUUUAGAUAGGCAAUCUUCAUAUCUUUCAAAGACUACAGAAUAGGACAUUUAAUGUUUUAAUAACUUAGGGUUUUUCAUGACAAUGAGACACUCUGCUCCUGGCAGCACCAAUCUACUUCAAGAAGAAUAUGGGCAUUGAAGAGGAUCCUUAUGGAGUCUGAUAGCCAUUUGGGCAAGAAAACUGCUCAUGCCUGGACUAUUGCAUAAACUGGACACAGAGAACCCUCAGCGAGAGGACUACUGAACUUGCCUAAAGGUUGGCUCAUCCUUUUGAAAUCCCAGAGGUCUUCAGUAUUGCCAUGGACCACGGAGAUGCUCGCUAUCUGAAGUGGCUCGAGGAGGGCAUGAAGGAGAACUAAGCUGGCUGCUGAGGCCUUUCCUGACUGCUCUGGGAGAAGCCGGCCUCUGCCUCCCCAGGGGUUCCUAACAGCACAGAGGCGACCUGUGCAUGCCCAAUGAAGGGCUGAGAAUUUCAAGGUGUGAAGUGAAGGCCAGCCAGGUCCGCAGGAGCCGAGUGCAGCCUGUCAUAGAGUGCUGUGCAUUUUCAGGCAGCCAGAGGGUGUGAGGGUGAGGACUGGGGGCAGAGGGGCGGUGGUGGUGAGCGCACUGGGCCUACUACCAUAAGUGCCCCGAUGUAAUCAUUCCUCUGCUUCUUGUGGGGACAGAGAGCCUUUCUCACCUGUGUGUGUGUGGGAUAAAUGUCUUCCAAAAAACAAACAAACAAACAAAUAAAAAAAAACUGGUAUGGGUUCUUUUCAAAAUGAUGAGUCAUAGGGAUAGAAUUUCAGGGGUCAGCAGAAUUGCUUCUUUGUUAGAGAAGCUUUUGUUGCUCCUGAACUUGCAGAGGUAAGGCUGGGAAGGGGCUUCUUGAGCCUAUGCAGUCUAGGGGGAAUAUAUGGGUUUCAACGCAGCCUCGUGAGCUGAGGAUAAGUCCUGACUCUUACUAGACCUAUUGUAACAGACAUGUCUCAGCCCUGGGAACCUGCUGCACCAGUGUUCUUCAGCGUUGCUGUACAGUUUCUGGGGCUGAAGAGGAACCACCGAACUUCUUGAGGAAUGCAGCCCCAUCCAUGCCCCGAGUGAAGCUGCUGGGAGUUUGUAAAUCGUUGCUGUGAUCUCCCCAUUUUAUGCAUUAUCAAGAAAAAUUGCACUUCGUGGAAUUUCAUACAGGGAGGCACACGGAAUUAUAGAGUCUAACAGUAGUUUCUCAUCUCACGAGAGGGCUCUCCGGCACCUGUUGCAGGGAUCUAUAGUGAAGAGAACAGUGAACAUAGGAUGCGAGCCCAAGGCUCUGAAAAGGGAGAACGGAACUCUCCAUGAAUCUCAUAAGGGAACUCCACGAUGGGGGACCACAGGGAGUUGGAGUCAGGAUCCAGACAACUAUGGUGUCCUGGCCUCUUCUAUGAGGGGGUGUUCCAUAUGCCAAGUGGAACAUGUCCUAGUUCUGAUAGCUGCUGUGUCUCCCACCUUGCGCUCCAGAUACCAGAUGGUGAAGGGUCUCCAAGGGCCAUCAAACCGCCAGAGAAUUCCACUGGUACUUUUGAUGGUUGAGGAACGGUGAUGUCCUUGGUCUUAAACCCCAGUUUCUGAUGUAUAUACAAGUCUUGAAGACAUUAUUUAAGAUGUUCUAAGGACCCCAGAUAGGCCAUCAUUGCUGCUUCUAGGUCAAGUCCAGUUUCUAGAUCUUCCUUUCAGGACCUGUUUCCAUCAGUGUCUCAGUCUUCCCCUCUGUGGCACACGUCCCUGUGCUAAUGCUGUCCCUUCUACCCGGAGCUACUCCUUGAAAGGCCUCUCUUCUGGGCUGGGUCAUGAGGUGCUGGAGGUCAGAGGCGU